AGAGUUUGAUCAUGGCUCAGGACCAACGCUGGCGGCGUGCGUAACACAUGCAAGUCGGACGCGCGGGGGGAGACCUCUGGCGCGUGGCGGACGGGUGAGGAACACGUGAGGAACCUGGCCUUGAGUGGGGGAUAACUGUCAGAAAUGAGAGCUAAUCCCGCAUACGGCCGUCCGGGGAGGGCCGGACGGAGAAAGCCUGCGAGGGCGCUCAAGGAGGGGCUUGCGGCCGAUUAGCUAGUUGGUGUGGUAAGAGCGCACCAAGGCGACGAUCGGUAGCUGGUCUGAGAGGACGAGCAGCCACACUGGGAUUGAGAACGGCCCAGACUCCUACGGGGGGCAGCAGUGAGGAAUCUUCGGCAAUGGGGGCAACCCUGACCGAGCGACGCCGCGUGCGGGAAGACGGCCUUCGGGUUGUAAACCGCUUUUCUGGGGGACGAGAGAACGGACGGUACCCCAGGAAGAAGCCUCGGCUAACUACGUGCCAGCAGCCGCGGUAAUACGUAGGAGGCGAGCGUUGUCCGGAGUUACUGGGCGUAAAGGGUGCGCAGGCGGCGUUCCGCGUGGCGAGAUGAAAUCUCCUGGCUUACCUGGGAGGGUGGUCGCCAGACGGGAGCGCUUGAGGGUCGGAGAGGGGCGUGGAAUUCCGGGUGGAGCGGUGAAAUGCGUAGAGAUCCGGAGGAACACCGACGGCGUAGGCAGCGCCCUGGACGACACCUGACGCUGAGGCACGAAAGCUGGGGGAGCGAACAGGAUUAGAUACCCUUGUAGUCC
This 771-nucleotide ribosomal RNA is filed under the name uncultured bacterium. RNAcentral describes it as "bacterial SSU rRNA". It matches the Rfam family "Bacterial small subunit ribosomal RNA", at positions 8 to 796 of the family's 1533-position model. The record is from RNAcentral.